CCUACGGGAGGCAGCAGUGGGGAAUAUUGCACAAUGGGGGAAACCCUGAUGCAACAACGCCGCGUGAGUGAAGAAGUAUUUCGGUAUGUAAAGCUCUAUCAGCAGGGAAGAAAAUGACAGUAUCUGACUAAGAAGCCCCGGCUAACUACGUGCCAGCAGCCGCGGUAAUACGUAGGGGGCAGGCGUUAUCCGGAUUUACUGGGUGUAAAGGGAGCGUAGACGGCUGCGCAAGUCAGAAGUGAAAGCCCGGGGCUCAACCGCGGGACUGCUUUUGAAACUGUGUAGCUAGAGUGUAGGAGAGGUAAGUGGAAUUCCUAGUGUAGCGGUGAAAUGCGUAGAUAUUAGGAGGAACACCGGUGGCGAAGGCGGCUUACUGGACUGUAACUGACGUUGAGGCUCGAAAGCGUGGGGAGCAAACAGGAUUAGAUACCCCUGUAGUC
RNAcentral lists this ribosomal RNA (440 nucleotides) under uncultured bacterium. Its description in RNAcentral is "partial 16S ribosomal RNA". It matches the Rfam family "Bacterial small subunit ribosomal RNA", at positions 338 to 795 of the family's 1533-position model. The record is from RNAcentral.